UCCGGCUUACCACCGGCGGUCCCAUUAGAGUGCCCAACUAAAAGAUGGCAACUAAUGGCGAGGGUUGCGCUCGUUGCGGGACUUAACCCAACACCUCACGGCACGAGCUGACGACAGCCAUGCAGCACCUGUGCAGCAGUCCCGAAGGAAGACUCCAUUUCUGGAGCUGUCUACUGCAUGUCAAGCCUGGGUAAGGUUCUUCGCGUUGCAUCGAAUUAAACCACAUGCUCCACUGCUUGUGCGGGUCCCCGUCAAUUCUUUUGAGUUUCAGCCUUGCGACUGUACUCCCCAGGCGGUAUACUUAACGCGUUAGCUCCGGCACAGACAGGGUUGAUUCCGUCUACACCAAGUAUACAUAGUUUACGGCAAGGACUAC
This 376-nucleotide unclassified non-coding RNA is filed under the name uncultured Parachlamydiaceae bacterium. RNAcentral's name for it is "contains 16S-23S intergenic spacer region". Lineage: Bacteria; Pseudomonadati; Chlamydiota; Chlamydiia; Parachlamydiales; Parachlamydiaceae. The record is from RNAcentral.